Molecule: long non-coding RNA, 698 nt
Organism: Alexandromys fortis (reed vole)
Lineage: Eukaryota; Metazoa; Chordata; Mammalia; Rodentia; Cricetidae
Exons: 2
Source: RefSeq, a predicted model, not a curated record
GCCACAGGACUCAGAAGGUCCCGCCCAGAGGGUUAUAAACAGCAGACAAUCGCUGGGUGCCGGAGGACUCGGCUGGCACUGCCUGCCAGGUGCGCAGAGGAUCCCUCGGAUGUCAUCCUCAUAAGUGGAUUCUCACCUGUGCUGGGGUGAGAAUUUUAGGGAUGCAGCAGCUUGGGUCACUCUAGCGCCCAAUAGCCACCCCAAUAAACUCAUUGGCUCACCACACAAGACUCGGGCGGAGUCCUUGGUAUGCGGUCUGUGCCCCAUCUGGACUGAGUAGAUGUUAUCCCCACCUCUCCAUGAGAAGGAACGGCAGCAGGACGCUCACAGGACACCCCCAGAAGCCACCAUGAGGAGGAGAGGUUUGUUCCCUCAUCUGCUCCCCACCAUGUGCUUUCCCAACAUGAUGUCAUGUCUCAGUGCGGGCCAUAAUGCAACGGAGCCAACUGACCAUAGGCUGGAGUCCCUGAGAUCAUGGGUCAAAGUAAAUCUCUCCUCAUUACAAGUUGACUGUCCUGCCGGGUGGUGGUGGCGCAUGCCUUUAAUCCCAGCACUCGGGAGGCAGAGGCUGCUGGAUCUCUGUGAGUUCGAGACCAGCCUGGUCUACAAGAGCUAGUUCCAGGACAGUCUCCAAAGCUACAGAGAAACCCUGUCUUGGGAAAGAGAGAGAGAGAGAGAGAGAGAGAGAGAGAGAGAGA